GUCUAUGGCCACGCCACCCCGAACAAGCCCAAUCCCGUCUGAUCUCGGAAGCUAAGCAGGGUCAGACCUGGUUAGUAAUUGGAUGAGAGACCACCUUUGAAGACCAGGUGCUAUAGGCA
Molecule: ribosomal RNA, 119 nt
Organism: Pteropus vampyrus (large flying fox)
Lineage: Eukaryota; Metazoa; Chordata; Mammalia; Chiroptera; Pteropodidae
Source: Ensembl